ACGGGCACGGGGCGGGAAGAGGGGUCCGUCAGUGGCGUUUUUAGCUUGCACCCCGCCACGCAGAUUCUCCCUGGCCGGAGAGGAGGAGGGUGGAGGGAGGGCGGAGAAGCCUCGAUUUCUCUGCACGUUCGGGAACGCCUUCUCCCCCUUCGUUCUCCCAUUCCCAGUCUUUUCCCGCUCCUCUCCGGUCUCACCUGUUUAUUUCCGUCAGCUGGAGCUCGCGGUUUUUUAUAUGGGCAUGAGAGUCUGUUUCUUUUAUUAGAAACAUUAUUGGGGAGAGGGGUGCGUUGCUGUAAUAUGUGCCGGUCCAGGUCGGUUUUCAGGCAGGGGGAGGGGACUUGGCGGAGACGCCGGCUUCUGGCCGCAGCUGACCCCAGGGCUUCUCCCUGCCUUCCCGUACGAGGAAUUCUUUCCCUCACUCUGCUACCCGCACACCAGCUGCCACCUUCCUGGAGAAAGACCACACCUGUGCUUAUCCCCGCUUUGGAGGAGAGCCUCACCACUUGCUGGGCUCUGAUCCUUCUUUUUCUUCUGCCUCCUCACGUCUCCAACCAGAAGGGGAUCUUUUAGUCCUUCACUUCAUGGGGAGCCUUCAGAGAGAGUAAUGCAGCCACCAGAAAGGAUGCCGUUUACCGACACAGUGACUGACAGGCUGCCCUGGCUCAGUUAUCACAGUGCUGAUGCUGUCCAUUCUAAAGGUACAGUACUGUGAUAACUGAAGGAUGGCAGCCAUCUUGCCUUCCAUCAGAGGAGCCUCAUCGUGCCCAGGAAGAAAGAAGGCGAAAGAGCAAUGUGAAACAGGUGGCCGGGACCCAGAAACCCUCUUACCCUGCGCCUCUGUCGUAUUUUUUCCUGGGGCGUAGGGAGAGUUAUUCUGCUUCUCUUUGCCUUGUUUUGUAAAAUGGGAUAGUUGUUGGAACAGCAGUGUUGUGCUGAGUGAACAUAUAUUAAGCUGUUUGAAAGCUUUAGGAGACUGAAAAUAGGUAAGUAUUAGUUAAUAUUUCUGGAAUGAUAUUCAGAGAACUUUGUAUCAUUUUUGUAAGUGUGAAAGGUAACCUAAUUAGAACAGCUUGGCUCUUGUCGGCACACUUCUAGAUUUCAAAAUCAGAUUCUACUUACAGAGAGGAAAAAAAGAGUCCAAUAUGUUGAAUGGUAUUGAAAGUAUUGCAUAAAUAAAAGUCCAUCUUUGUAGACUAGCUUAUUGAAGUGAGGAAAGAAAAAAGCAUAUCUUUGUCUUGAAGGAGUAGAUAGUGACAUGUCAUGUUUAUUUCAGGAUAUUUAGGAUCUGGCCUAAUUCAAAAGAAUAUUUACGGAAUGCCCAUGUUAUUGCUGCUGCUGUCACCUUUACAAAAAAAUAAAAUGUAAAUUUUUUUAUUUCU
Long non-coding RNA from Cebus imitator (Panamanian white-faced capuchin), 1379 nucleotides. RefSeq lists it as uncharacterized. The transcript is spliced from 2 exons. NCBI's taxonomy places the organism in Eukaryota, Metazoa, Chordata, Mammalia, Primates, Cebidae. The record is from RefSeq and is a predicted model, not a curated record.